GUUUAGUGCUGCAGAUUCAUCUCUAUUGUGGAGUAGCCUUGAAUGGUUGGUGUGACUUGCUUUGACCUUUGCUGCUGGGUGCCUUGGCGGAGUGCUUGCGAGCUAUUGAGUCUCAUCAUGAAUGCAGUGACUUAUGAGGACGUGCAUGUGAACUUCACUCGAGAGGAGUGGGCUCUGCUGGAUCCUUCUCAGAAGAAGCUCUACAAAGAUGUGAUGCUGGAGACCUACAGGAACCUCAACGCUAUAGGAUUUAAUUGGGACGAGAAACAUAUUCAAGAACAUUGUCCAAGUUCUAGAAGACACAGAAGGCAUGAAAGAAGUCAGAGUGCAGAGAAAGCGUCUGAAUAUACUCAAUGUGAUAAAAUCUUUUUUUUAUGCUCACAGUCAUGCUCAAAGGCAUGAAAGAAUUCAUACAGAAAUGAACCCCCUUGGAAUUAUUCAAUUUGUUGAAACCUUUGCUCAACAUCGUCUCCAACUUCAUAAAGAGCACAAACUGGAAAGAAACUCUAUGAAUGGAAGCAAUGUAGUAAAGCCUUUGAAGAUCAAGUCAUCUUAAAAGCUAUGAAGGAAUUCAUACGGGAGAGAAACCUUAUGAAUGUCAUCAGUGUGAAAAAGCCUUUUCAAGUCACAGUAAUCUCCUACAACCUAAACGGACACAUACUGGAGAGAAAUGCUAUGAAUGUGAUCUGUGUGGUAAAGCCUUUUCACAACAUAGUCGGCUUAAAAGGCAUGGAAGAAUUCAUACUGGAGAGAAACCCUACAGAUGUAAUAACUGUGAGAAAGCCUUUUCACAACAAAUUCACCUCCAGUCACAUAGAAGAAUUCAUACUGGAGAGAAACCCUACAAAUAUAAUAAAUGUGAGAAAGCCAUUUUACAACAUUAUAACCUCCAAAGUCAUAAAAGAAUACAUAUUGGAUAGAAACCCAAUGAAUGUGGUCUGUGUGUGAAAGCCUGUAUAAGUCAAUGGUAUCUUCAAAAGCAUAAAAAAAAAUUCAUACUGUAGAGAAAGCUUAUGAACAUAUAUAAUAUGGUAAAAUCUACAAAUAUCCAUAGUCUUAAUCAUCAUGCACAUAUUUGUAUUGGCAAGAAAUCCUCUGAAUAUUAACUGUGUGAUAAAACCUAUUUCAACACACUUAUCUCCUAAUGCAUCAAUGAGCACAUACUGGGGAGACAGAGGUGUGAGGAACUUAUGAAUGUAUACAAUGUGGUAAAAGUCCAUGCUGCAGGGAAGCCCUACAAAUGUAGUCAUUCUGAUAAAAUUUUGCACUUCACAGUAUGUUUCUGUAAGAGGAAAGUCAUUAGCUUAUACUAAAUCUGUUAAUGUUUGCAUGUCACAGUAAUUUUUCAACUUCUAAGAACUCAUAAGUAGGGCAGUCUAUGACUCUGAUGGCCUUGGUACGAUCUUUAGCCAGUCCACUUACAUUAAGUUACACAAAAUUAUUUAUUCCUGAGAAAAUCUCUAGCAAGUGUCAACUAUCUGCUCAAAUAUGAUGAUGUGUCUUUUUUUUUUUAACAUGUAAAUUCAUAGGUUCAAAAGCCCUUUCAAUUUCAUUGAUAAGGUACUGGUUUAAAUUUCACAGCUCAUUAAAUUUCACAGUCCAUUAAAUAACUCAUUCAUGUG
RNA transcript from Mus musculus (house mouse), 1622 nucleotides. It is a transcript of the gene named cDNA sequence BC052688, with no coding region annotated. Lineage: Eukaryota; Metazoa; Chordata; Mammalia; Rodentia; Muridae. The transcript has 4 exons. The record is from RefSeq and is marked validated.